This 1270-nucleotide ribosomal RNA is filed under the name Bacillus sp. (in: firmicutes). RNAcentral describes it as "bacterial SSU rRNA". It matches the Rfam family "Bacterial small subunit ribosomal RNA", at positions 90 to 1346 of the family's 1533-position model. The record is from RNAcentral. Lineage: Bacteria; Bacillati; Bacillota; Bacilli; Caryophanales; Bacillaceae.
UGUUAGCGGCGGACGGGUGAGUAACACGUGGGUAACCUGCCUGUAAGACUGGGAUAACUCCGGGAAACCGGGGCUAAUACCGGAUGGUUGUCUGAACCGCAUGGUUCAGACAUAAAAGGUGGCUUCGGCUACCACUUACAGAUGGACCCGCGGCGCAUUAGCUAGUUGGUGAGGUAACGGCUCACCAAGGCGACGAUGCGUAGCCGACCUGAGAGGGUGAUCGGCCACACUGGGACUGAGACACGGCCCAGACUCCUACGGGAGGCAGCAGUAGGGAAUCUUCCGCAAUGGACGAAAGUCUGACGGAGCAACGCCGCGUGAGUGAUGAAGGUUUUCGGAUCGUAAAGCUCUGUUGUUAGGGAAGAACAAGUGCCGUUCAAAUAGGGCGGCACCUUGACGGUACCUAACCAGAAAGCCACGGCUAACUACGUGCCAGCAGCCGCGGUAAUACGUAGGUGGCAAGCGUUGUCCGGAAUUAUUGGGCGUAAAGGGCUCGCAGGCGGUUUCUUAAGUCUGAUGUGAAAGCCCCCGGCUCAACCGGGGAGGGUCAUUGGAAACUGGGGAACUUGAGUGCAGAAGAGGAGAGUGGAAUUCCACGUGUAGCGGUGAAAUGCGUAGAGAUGUGGAGGAACACCAGUGGCGAAGGCGACUCUCUGGUCUGUAACUGACGCUGAGGAGCGAAAGCGUGGGGAGCGAACAGGAUUAGAUACCCUGGUAGUCCACGCCGUAAACGAUGAGUGCUAAGUGUUAGGGGGUUUCCGCCCCUUAGUGCUGCAGCUAACGCAUUAAGCACUCCGCCUGGGGAGUACGGUCGCAAGACUGAAACUCAAAGGAAUUGACGGGGGCCCGCACAAGCGGUGGAGCAUGUGGUUUAAUUCGAAGCAACGCGAAGAACCUUACCAGGUCUUGACAUCCUCUGACAAUCCUAGAGAUAGGACGUCCCCUUCGGGGGCAGAGUGACAGGUGGUGCAUGGUUGUCGUCAGCUCGUGUCGUGAGAUGUUGGGUUAAGUCCCGCAACGAGCGCAACCCUUGAUCUUAGUUGCCAGCAUUCAGUUGGGCACUCUAAGGUGACUGCCGGUGACAAACCGGAGGAAGGUGGGGAUGACGUCAAAUCAUCAUGCCCCUUAUGACCUGGGCUACACACGUGCUACAAUGGACAGAACAAAGGGCAGCGAAACCGCGAGGUUAAGCCAAUCCCACAAAUCUGUUCUCAGUUCGGAUCGCAGUCUGCAACUCGACUGCGUGAAGCUGGAAUCGCUAGUAAUCGCG